Molecule: ribosomal RNA, 555 nt
Filed under: Triticum aestivum (bread wheat)
Lineage: Eukaryota; Viridiplantae; Streptophyta; Magnoliopsida; Poales; Poaceae
Description: partial small subunit ribosomal RNA
Source: RNAcentral
AUGCCUGUUAUUUCUAUUAAAAUAGGAGAUCAUUGUUAUCAUGGCUUAUGUGAUAUGGGUGCCGGUGCUAGUGCAAUACCUAUUAGCAUAUAUAGAGAAAUUAUGCAUGAUAUUGCACCUGUUGAGUUAGAAGAUAUUGAUGUCACAAUUAAACUUGCCAAUAGAGAUACUAUUUCACCAAUGGGAAUUGUUAGAGAUGUUGAAGUCUUGUGUGGGAAAACUAAAUAUCCUGCUGAUUUUCUUGUUCUUGGUUCCCCACAAGAUAGCUUUUGUCCCAUUAUAUUUGGUAGAACCUUCCUGAACACUGUUAAUGCUACCAUAGAUUGCAAAAGGGAUGUUGUUACUAUCCGUUUAGAUGAUAUGACUCAUGAAUUUAAUUUCUCUAAAUUUAGUAGACAACACCGUGAAGAAGAAUUACCUAGUAAGUAUGAAAUUAUUGGUCUUGCUUCUAUUGCCGUACCUCCUAGUGAUCCUUUAGAACAAUAUUUGCUAGACCAUGAGAAUGAUAUGUUUAUGAAUGAAAGAAGGGAAAUAGAUGAAGUAUUCUUUAAAUAG